AGAGAGUAGUGAUAUGAGCUUCUUCUCCUACAAUCUUAGAAACCUCCGAUCACAGUUCUAGAUAUUUUACAACGGAACAAUGGAGAGCACCGAUUCCUCUGGUGGUCCUCCACCGCCACAACCUAACCUUCCUCCAGGCUUCCGGUUUCACCCAACCGAUGAAGAGCUUGUAGUUCACUACCUCAAACGCAAAGCCGCCUCUGCUCCUUUACCUGUAGCCAUCAUCGCCGAAGUCGAUCUCUAUAAAUUCGAUCCAUGGGAACUUCCCGGUAUGUACAACCUCAUCAUCAUCAUCGUCAACAACUUUUUAUUCUUAGUAUAAUUCAAUUUAUUUGAAUUUGUGAGUUUUUUUAUUUUAUUUUCCCAGAGAUCAUCUAUGUGAUGAUGACGUUAUGAUCUUUUUUUUAAAUUUUAAUAUUGGUUUGUGGAUUCUUUUUGUUGCAGCUAAAGCGUCGUUUGGAGAACAAGAAUGGUACUUCUUCAGUCCUCGAGAUCGGAAGUAUCCAAACGGAGCAAGACCAAACAGAGCGGCGACUUCAGGAUAUUGGAAAGCGACCGGUACAGAUAAACCGGUACUUGCUUCCGACGGUAACCAAAAGGUGGGCGUGAAGAAGGCACUGGUCUUCUACAGUGGUAAACCACCAAAAGGCGUGAAAAGUGAUUGGAUCAUGCAUGAGUAUCGUCUCAUCGAAAACAAACCAAACAAUCGACCUCCUGGUUGUGAUUUCGGCAACAAGAAAAACUCACUCAGAGUAUAUAAUAAAUUCAUAACAUAUAAUGAUUCAACUUCAAAUAAUCUUGAUUCUUGAGUUCUUGAUUUUGGAUUUUUUUUUUUCUUGUGUAGCUUGAUGAUUGGGUGUUAUGUAGAAUCUACAAGAAGAACAACGCAAGUCGACAUGUUGAUAACGAUAAGGAUCAUGAUAUGAUCGAUUACAUUUUCAGGAAGAUUCCUCCGCCGUUAUCAAUGGCUGCUGCUGCUACAGGACUUCACCAUCAUCACCAUAAUGUCUCCAGAUCAAUGAAUUUCUUCCCUGGCAAAUUCUCCGGUGGUGGUUACGGGAUUUUCUCUGACGGAGGUAACACGAGUUUAUACGACGGCGGUGGCAUGAUCAACAACAUCGGUACAGACUCAGUGGAUCACGACAAUAACGCUGACGUCGUUGGUUUGAAUCAUGCGUCGUCUUCAGGUCCGAUGAUGAUGGCGAGUCUGAAACGAGCUCUUCCGGUGCCGUAUUGGCCGGUGGCAGAGGAGGAGCAAGAUGCAUCUCCGAGCAAGAGGUUUCACGGCGGUGGAGGAGGAGGAGAUUGUUCGAACAUGUCUUCUUCGAUGAUGGAAGAGACUCCACCAUUGAUGCAACAACAAGGUGGUGUGUUAGGAGAUGGAUUGUUCAGAACGACGUCGUACCAAUUACCCGGUUUAAAUUGGUACUCUUCUUAAUCAAAUGUGUUUCGCUGCCGGUGUGAAGAAUUUUCCGGU
This 1477-nucleotide long non-coding RNA is filed under the name Arabidopsis lyrata. RNAcentral describes it as "long non-coding RNA (ALYR_LNC002311)". The record is from RNAcentral. Lineage: Eukaryota; Viridiplantae; Streptophyta; Magnoliopsida; Brassicales; Brassicaceae.